AAUAGAUACCCAGGUAGUCCACGCCGUAAACUAUGGAUGCUAGCUGUUGGCCGUAUCGGACCCGGUCAGUAGCGAAGCUAACGCGUUAAGCAUCCCGCCUGUGGAGUACGAGCGCAAGCUUAAAACAUAAAGGAAUUGACGGGGACCCGCACAAGCGGUGGAGCGUGUUGUUUAAUUCGAUGAUAAGCGAAGAACCUUACCCAGGCUUGACAUCCUUGGAAGGCCUCCGAAAGGAGACUGUGCCUUUUAGGAACCAAGUGACAGGUGUUGCAUGGCCGUCGUCAGCUCGUGUCGUGAGAUGUUUGGUUAAGUCCAUCAACGAGCGCAACCCUUAUAGUUAGUUGAAUUUUUCUAGCUAGACUGCCCUGGCAACAAGGAGGAAGGGGGGGUAUGAUGUCAGGUCAGUAUUACCCUUACGUCUGGGGCUACAAACACGCUACAAUGGCCGGUACAAAGGGCAGCCAACCCGCGAGGGGGAGCUAAUCCCAUCAAAGCCGGUCUCAGUUCGGAUUGCAGGCUGAAACUCGCCUGCAUGAAGCCGG
This 542-nucleotide ribosomal RNA is filed under the name uncultured bacterium. Its description in RNAcentral is "bacterial SSU rRNA". It matches the Rfam family "Bacterial small subunit ribosomal RNA", at positions 777 to 1329 of the family's 1533-position model. The record is from RNAcentral.